Molecule: ribosomal RNA, 383 nt
Filed under: uncultured eukaryote
Lineage: Eukaryota
Description: partial 18S ribosomal RNA
Rfam family: Eukaryotic small subunit ribosomal RNA
Source: RNAcentral
CAAUAGCGUAUAUUAAAGUUGUUGCAGUUAAAAAGCUCGUAGUUGGAUUUCUGGUGGGAGCGAUCGGUCUGGCGCUUAGCGCAAGUACUUGCAUCGUCUCCGGCCAUCCUUGGGGAGAGUCUGUCUGGCAUUAGGUUGUCGGGCAGAGGAUCCUCAUCGUUUACUGUGAAAAAAUUAGAGUGUUCAAAGCAGGCUUAUGCCGUUGAAUAUAUUAGCAUGGAAUAACAAGAUAGGACUUUGGUACUAUUUUGUUGGUUUGCGCACCAAAGUAAUGAUUAAUAGGGACAGUUGGGGGUAUUCGUAUUCCGUUGUCAGAGGUGAAAUUCUUGGAUUUACGGAAGACGAACUACUGCGAAAGCAUUUACCAAGGAUGUUUUCAUUAA